GGGCUCUUAGCUCAGUUGGAAGAGCGCCUCAAUGGCAUUGAGGAGGUCAGCGGUUCGAACCCGCUAGGGUCCA
RNAcentral lists this transfer RNA (73 nucleotides) under Cephaloticoccus capnophilus. It matches the Rfam family "tRNA". Rfam says of the family: Transfer RNA (tRNA) molecules are approximately 80 nucleotides in length. Their secondary structure includes four short double-helical elements and three loops (D, anti-codon, and T loops). Lineage: Bacteria; Pseudomonadati; Verrucomicrobiota; Opitutia; Opitutales; Opitutaceae. The record is from Rfam by way of RNAcentral.